RNAcentral lists this ribosomal RNA (275 nucleotides) under uncultured bacterium. RNAcentral describes it as "partial 16S ribosomal RNA". It matches the Rfam family "Bacterial small subunit ribosomal RNA", at positions 338 to 629 of the family's 1533-position model. The record is from RNAcentral.
CCUACGGGGGGCUGCAGUGAGGAAUUUUCCGCAAUGGGCGAAAGCCUGACGGAGCAAUGCCGCGUGAAGGAUGAAGGCCUAUGGGUUGUAAACUUCUUUUCUCAGAGAAGAAUAUUGACGGUAUCUGAGGAAUAAGCAUCGGCUAACUCUGUGCCAGCAGCCGCGGUAAGACAGAGGAUGCAAGCGUUAUCCGGAAUGAUUGGGCGUAAAGCGUCUGUAGGUGGCUUCAAAAGUCUCCUGUCAAAGAUCAGGGCUUAACCCUGGGCCGGCAGGAG